RNAcentral lists this ribosomal RNA (253 nucleotides) under uncultured bacterium. Its description in RNAcentral is "partial 16S ribosomal RNA". It matches the Rfam family "Bacterial small subunit ribosomal RNA", at positions 524 to 776 of the family's 1533-position model. The record is from RNAcentral.
UACGUAGGUGGCAAGCGUUGUCCGGAAUUACUGGGUGUAAAGGGAGCGCAGGCGGAAAGCCAAGUCAGCUGUGAAAACUACGGGCUUAACUUGUAGACUGCAGUUGAAACUGGUUUUCUUGAGUGAAGUAGAGGUUGGCGGAAUUCCGAGUGUAGCGGUGAAAUGCGUAGAUAUUCGGAGGAACACCGGUGGCGAAGGCGGCCAACUGGGCUUUAACUGACGCUGAGGCUCGAAAGUGUGGGGAGCAAACAGG